Molecule: long non-coding RNA, 582 nt
Filed under: Pelobates cultripes (western spadefoot toad)
Lineage: Eukaryota; Metazoa; Chordata; Amphibia; Anura; Pelobatidae
Source: RNAcentral
CCUCCAAAGAGCACAGGACCAUGUGCAAAACAUCUUGGAGCAAGCCCGGAAACCAUUUGUAUCCAGUUCUAUUCCGAUGAGCAACCGAUCCAAAAGGUUCCUCACCGCUAUAAUUGUUGCAUUAGUUUGUGCCACUGUCGGUGCAGUUGUCGCAACUGGAAUGUCUGCAGCCAACUCUAUUACUGUCCAAAAGCUGGAUAUGGAAAUCUAUGUGCUAAAGCAACACAUUAACGAUAUUCAUCAGGUGAUACAACAGCAAAGAACACUUCUCCAAGACGUGCUAACUAUUGUGGAAGACACAGUCGUUACAACGAAUUUGCAUUCGGAAUUAAUUGCCAAAUCCACUGAGUUGCACCAAAGUCAUGACUUAUUUAAGCGUGAACUUUUAUUUCUGCAUGACCCAAUAUUGUUCCACACACUUGCUUUUCUCGACGAAGUGCAAACUGGAAUGAUCGAAUUGGCAGGGGGACGCAUACCUCUGUAUUUUGUAUCCAAGGAUAUUGUUCAUGCGAUGCUUGCCAAUGUGGAUGGAGAAACAAUUGAGCCUAUGCAAUUAAAUCUGGCCUUUGAGAUGGGGAGCGC